Molecule: unclassified non-coding RNA, 212 nt
Filed under: plant metagenome
Description: partial contains small subunit ribosomal RNA, internal transcribed spacer 1, and 5.8S ribosomal RNA
Source: RNAcentral
UCUCCGUUGGUGAACCAGCGGAGGGAUCAUUACAGGAUCGAAAGACUCCUAUAACCCCUGUGAACUUACUACAAAUACGUUGCUUCGGCGGGUGCCCCGGGUCUCCCGGGGCGUUCAGCCCGCCGGCAGUCUUCAAAUUCUGUUUCUUUGCGUUGGCAUCUCGAGUAUACAAAAAUAAGUUAAAACUUUCAACAACAGAUCUCUUGGUUCUG